This 771-nucleotide long non-coding RNA is filed under the name Capsicum annuum. RNAcentral's name for it is "long non-coding RNA (CANN_LNC006046)". The record is from RNAcentral. Lineage: Eukaryota; Viridiplantae; Streptophyta; Magnoliopsida; Solanales; Solanaceae.
GAGAGAAGAAAACGAGAAGUGUGCAACGAACAGGGUUAUGAUGGUGAUCUGGUUCGUGUAUAAGGUGAGAUUUUUCAAAUUUAAUUGUAAAGUAUUACGAUCUCCGUCUCAAAAUAUCCGUUUCAAAUUUUUUAAUUUAAUUUUUUAUUUUUUUCAUUAAUCAAUAAGAGACAUUUUUUUUUUAUGUUUUACUUUCUGCAUUAAUUAUUUUUUCUUUAAACUAAAAUGUAAACAUCAUUUAAUAGGGGUACUAUAAUAAAUUAAGCAUAUUAUUAAUUAUUUUUCUUAAUCAAUGUUGUCAUAUCAAUUUGGGACGGAUAAUUUAAGACGGGGGGAGUAUUUUAUUUUAUUCAAUUUAAGAUGAUUUGAAUAUGUGACGAGGAAAAACACUGAUGUUUCAGUUUGUAAGUGUGAGAUGUUAGCUUUGCAUGAUUUCAGGUGGGAUAGAGCCGUAGAGGAAGAUCGAAGAAAUACUGAAGGAAGGUGAUUAGACUGAUAUGAAUCAAUUACAACUUACUGAGGACAUGACCUUAUAUAGAAAGUUGUGGAAAAAGUGAAUUAGGUUAGAGGGCUAGUAAGGGUGGAUGGGGCGUAGGUAGUAGAUAGGAAUCCUUUGGUAUACCCUUGCUAGUAGUCGUAGGAGGAUUGGGGUGAGGAUGUGCUCCCGAUUUGAUAGUGUGGAGUACUACUUUAUGGGUGUUAUUUUCUAUUAUUCCAUCUUAUUUUAUGUUUUAUUUUGACUUUGUUUACUGUUUUUGGUUUCAAGCCGGG